UUGCAAUUUUCAGUCAUUUUGUAUUACAAACGGGAAAUUGACAUCCGAUUCGGGUGUUGGGGCUGCAAUUUCCCGUUUGUAAUGCAAAAUGACUAAAAAUUGCAAACUUU
Molecule: non-coding RNA, 110 nt
Organism: Paramuricea clavata
Lineage: Eukaryota; Metazoa; Cnidaria; Anthozoa; Malacalcyonacea; Plexauridae
Source: the annotation of a GenBank genome assembly